Molecule: long non-coding RNA, 861 nt
Filed under: Chrysemys picta bellii (western painted turtle)
Lineage: Eukaryota; Metazoa; Chordata; Testudines; Emydidae
Description: lncRNA (ENSCPBG00000025149.1)
Source: RNAcentral
GUGGUAAGAGACUGAAGAUGGUAACGUCUUCCUCAUUGCCUCUCAAGAUGCACGUUGUAAGGGAGGAAUUGUCUGAAUAAAGGCAUCGUGGAAACCGACAGAUACCACUGCGUGAAAAGAAUGAUUUGAAAAAGUAUUUACACUAGGGAAUAAUGGACUUAGUGAUGUGUUCAUGUGGAGUUUCUUUCCAGGAGGAAAAGGUAACCAAGAAGCUGGUGGUAGAAGAGGGAGAUGAGAGGAAUUUACUUCAAAAUUUCAGCUACAAAAUGUCCUUAAGAAUUGUAUGAAUCCCUCUACAGUGCUGCUGUCAAUUACCAGAAAGUUUGUAAUGGAUUUUUCUGGCUGCUGGCUGUUUUUGACUCAUAAACCAGAACAUAAGUUUAAAAGACUUUUCAUGUCUUCUGAGUCUAUGGACAAAUGAAUAGAAACUAUCAAGAGACUUCAUGCCAGACUGUGAUGAAUAGGAUGGCUAGUUGGUGUACAUGCAGCUUGCUCAAAUAGACCCCAGGACCACUAGGCUGGAGCACCUGAGGAGGGCUUAUUUAACAAAACAGGAUCCUGGAAUUGAGAGAGAACUCAUGCUGAUAUCAUGUCUGAUGGUCAUUCCUUUAGAGCAGCUGGCAUCCUGGCUUAUCACAGGGAAAUGUUGUUUUGCCAUGGUUAGGCUGAGCUCUGGCUUCCUUGGAGACCUAGGAACAGAAGCUUUUGGCAGCUGUGUGAACCUGAAAAUACCACUGUCAGGGUAAGCAAAACAAUUAUUGCCAUCAGCACAAUGACUUGCUGUACUGUUAAAACAGCACCUUUUAUUCUGAACCAAAAUUGUAUGCAAAUAAAAUAGUCAAUUAUAAAAGCUAUAAAACA